This is a non-coding RNA of Procambarus clarkii (red swamp crayfish), 167 nucleotides long. The record is from RefSeq and is a predicted model, not a curated record. NCBI's taxonomy places the organism in Eukaryota, Metazoa, Arthropoda, Malacostraca, Decapoda, Cambaridae.
CCAAGGUGAAUGUUGCAGCACACCAUCUUUUACACCAAGGUGAAUGUUGCAGCACACCAUCUUUUACACCAAGGUGAAUGUUGCAGCACACCACCUUUUACACCAAGGUGAAUGCAGCAUGGCAUUUUUACACACCAAAGCAACUACAUUAUAUGAUGCAAUUGUUA